CAGAGAAACCGUGUCAAUACACGGGAGUAAUCUACCAGAGUGGACAGACAUUUAAAGAUGACUGUAACGAUUGCAAAUGCUGGGAUGGAGCGGUUGAAUGUACAAAACGAGACUGCCCAAAGAAACCGUGUCAAUACAAGGGAGUUACCUACCAGAGUGGACAGACAUUCAAGGAUGACUGUAACGAUUGUAAAUGUUGGGAUGGAGAUGUAGAAUGUACAAAACGAGAUUGCCCAAAAAAACCUUGUCAAUACAAGGGAACUACCUACCAAAGCGGACAGACAUUCAAGGAUGACUGUAACGAAUGCAAAUGUUGGGAUGGAGCUGUUGAAUGUACACAACGAGAGUGUCCAAAAAAACCGUGUCAAUACAAGGGAGUAACGUACCCGAGUGGACAGACAUUCAAGGAUGACUGUAACGACUGUAAAUGUUGGGAUGGAGCUGUUACAUGUACAGACAGAGAUU
Molecule: long non-coding RNA, 465 nt
Organism: Dreissena polymorpha
Lineage: Eukaryota; Metazoa; Mollusca; Bivalvia; Myida; Dreissenidae
Exons: 4
Source: RefSeq, a predicted model, not a curated record